Molecule: ribosomal RNA, 500 nt
Filed under: Staphylococcus aureus
Lineage: Bacteria; Bacillati; Bacillota; Bacilli; Caryophanales; Staphylococcaceae
Description: partial 23S ribosomal RNA
Rfam family: Bacterial large subunit ribosomal RNA
Source: RNAcentral
CGUGUGCUUACAAGUAGUCAGAGCCCGUUAAUGGGUGAUGGCGUGCCUUUUGUAGAAUGAACCGGCGAGUUACGAUUUGAUGCAAGGUUAAGCAGUAAAUGUGGAGCCGUAGCGAAAGCGAGUCUGAAUAGGGCGUUUAGUAUUUGGUCGUAGACCCGAAACCAGGUGAUCUACCCUUGGUCAGGUUGAAGUUCAGGUAACACUGAAUGGAGGACCGAACCGACUUACGUUGAAAAGUGAGCGGAUGAACUGAGGGUAGCGGAGAAAUUCCAAUCGAACCUGGAGAUAGCUGGUUCUCUCCGAAAUAGCUUUAGGGCUAGCCUCAAGUGAUGAUUAUUGGAGGUAGAGCACUGUUUGGACGAGGGGCCCCUCUCGGGUUACCGAAUUCAGACAAACUCCGAAUGCCAAUUAAUUUAACUUGGGAGUCAGAACAUGGGUGAUAAGGUCCGUGUUCGAAAGGGAAACAGCCCAGACCACCAGCUAAGGUCCCAAAAUAUAUG